This is a long non-coding RNA of Gallus gallus (chicken), 494 nucleotides long. RefSeq lists it as uncharacterized. The record is from RefSeq and is a predicted model, not a curated record. NCBI's taxonomy places the organism in Eukaryota, Metazoa, Chordata, Aves, Galliformes, Phasianidae. The transcript has 3 exons.
GCCUGCUGGGCGCGUCUCGGCCCUGUGUGCUGCCAGGGCGGGAAUGAGGCGGGUGUGAGUCUCUGUCUGGAGUGAUUAGGAGAGACAGUUUACGCCAUACGAUUGCAUUAAAAAUUUCCCCAGCUGAAAUUUCAAGCCCUUCCAAACAGGCAUGCCUCAAAGGAAAACUGGAGAUUGGAAAACGUAAUGUAAAAUAUAAGCAAGUUUUACACAGUAUCAUCAUUUUAAAGGAUGUCAACAGUAAUUUACUGUGGGGAUGAAAGACAGAUGUUUAAUGAAACAGUCAGUGAAAAAGAAUGACUCUUGGAAGAGUGGAUAAAACAACGGCAAGAAUGGCAGGUCCUAUUGAUAGAUGGUUUCUAUCAAUAAACAGAUCUGUUUCAAGUGAGCUACAUGGCAGGUAAUAUGAGGUCUGCUCUGAAAGUAACGCCUCCUAUUUUUAUUAUGUUGUUUCAUGAUGUCAGAGGUGAAUGUUGGUAGGGCAGUAGAGGUUG